Long non-coding RNA from Leptopilina heterotoma, 480 nucleotides. RefSeq lists it as uncharacterized. The transcript is spliced from 2 exons. Lineage: Eukaryota; Metazoa; Arthropoda; Insecta; Hymenoptera; Figitidae. The record is from RefSeq and is a predicted model, not a curated record.
AGUAACCUUAGACCAGACCUGUUACCAAGCAAACUUGACAAACACCCAUCAAUGAGCAAUCUUUUUACAACCCUAUUACGUCGAUACACGGAUGUGAUCUGGGUAUAUAAGGCCCUAAAUUUGGAUCCAAAAAUCAGUAUCUAGUCAGCAUCCAGUCAGUAUCUAAAUUAAAUCAAAGCGAUCGACAUCAUCUCUGUACCAGUAGUCAGUACGAAUCUAUACUCGUUACCUACGAUUAUCCCAGUCUAAGUAAUACCCAUCUCGUGUGUGACCGAGCCAUUGUCAAACCUCCAAGCAGUAAAAAUUGGAAAGGCGGUGCAUCUGAACUGACUGUGGACGCACGAGCGGAGAACGGGUUUUCAGCUUCACAAAGAAGCAAUAAAGGUGUUUAUUGGAACUGGUCUUCUCUCGGCAACAUACAAAUAAAGAACUUCAAGAAAUCAUUAUAUACUAUUUUAUAAUAAAUUUCAUUUUAACUAA